UGGACGAGGCUACGGCCAUCAACAACAGCGUCGACCAGGGUCUCUCGUCCAGCAUAUUCACCAAGAACCUCAACCACAUCUUCAAGACACAGUGGCUGGGACCGAAAGGAUCGGACUGAGGGAUCGUCAACGUCGACAUCGGGACGAGCGGAGUUGAGAUCGGUGAGAUGAACACACAGCAGGCGGCCAUGAAUCGGGAUCAGAUUCAUAGUAUUACUAAACUCUAUUGUCACAUUUGUUGGCGUCUGUCUCGAUGAUAGACCUUCCUCCCCCCCAACGGACCCGACUCUCUUGAUCUGUUCGCUCGGAUCGAGUUUCAUUAAUGUUGGACUAAGCAGUUGCGUCGUCACUGAGAGCAACGCCGACCCGACAAUCUUCCCGCCUUUGUUUCCUGAAUAUCAUCCGCCGAUAACAGCAGCUCAGUUGUUUUAUUCCCGAGCUAUUUAUUACUGCCCUUUUUGGACCCUCGCCAUCAACUGUGAAACUGAUGUAUAGAUUAGGAAUAUUCCAAAAUAAAAAUAAUUUCAUUCUUAUCAUGUGUUUCAAGUAAUUAAACUAUUAUGUUCCAGUUACUAGGCCUAUUUCACAUGUGAUACACCACCAUCGCAUCCUAAAAUCUCCUUGUUCGCAGCUGAAUUUCUGUUCGUCUCCACGAUUCCUUUCUGUCGUCUGCACCCCCACCGUUGCCAGAUUUUUUACCUUUGGCGCCGGUGCGCCACAUCACAAAUCUUCUUCACAUUUUCAGGCGUUUGACUUUAAUGACGAUGAAAGCGAUGUGAUAAUACGGGCAAACAUUUAUUAGGUCAACUGAAAACACAGUGUGAAAAAUCAUCUACGUACGUUUUGCGUUUGAGUUUUCAGCUGUGUUCUUGGCGGAUUUUUAAUUUUUUAAUUUUCUCGAGUUACGUCUACUCAAAGCUCCGGCUAAUAAACUUGUUGUAAGAAUCGGUAAGAAUACUUCAGUCGAGUUGUCUCACACAGGUGACGAUACGGCGACGGUAUGGACGGAAAAGGCUUCGACAAUAUCUGCCCAGCACACCAGAAUCCUGAUACCAAAAAAUCCCGCUAUGAUAUCACAAAUAAUUUACAAAUAUAUCUAGAUCUUGGGACACUGUGUAUUUCAUAUAAAUUUGUCAGAAGAUUUCUAACUGCAAUAACUGCUGCGCUGCGGAAAAUGAAUGAACUUAAUAAUGAUGAGCCGGAAACGAUCGAAACUUAAAUCACUUAAAUCAUUUCAAAUUAUCACAAAAAGAACCAC
This is a long non-coding RNA of Daphnia pulicaria, 1258 nucleotides long. RefSeq lists it as uncharacterized. NCBI's taxonomy places the organism in Eukaryota, Metazoa, Arthropoda, Branchiopoda, Diplostraca, Daphniidae. The transcript is spliced from 3 exons. The record is from RefSeq and is a predicted model, not a curated record.